AUGAUCUGCGGAGAUAGUGUCGAGUGGUCAACGGGAACUAACAGCGUGUGAUGAACCUCUGCUGAUCAGCAGUGGACCGCAAUAGUCUUCCAGUCAGUCCAGCGACCUUACGUCUUAGACACCUAUACAAGCUAUUAUACAUUUGUACAUUAUGAUAUUAUUAGUAAGCGGUCUUUGAUUUUGUAAUCAGAUAAUGUCAGUUAUAUUUACAAACUUUUUUUUUUUAAA
Molecule: unclassified non-coding RNA, 228 nt
Filed under: Melitaea cinxia (Glanville fritillary)
Lineage: Eukaryota; Metazoa; Arthropoda; Insecta; Lepidoptera; Nymphalidae
Description: misc RNA ENSMCXG00005000714.1
Source: RNAcentral